GGGAUACUAGCGGGAGCAAUCUGGGUCCACCUCCCAUCCGUGUCUAUCUGUACCCUGUUGCUUCGGCGUGGCCACGGCCCGCCGGAGACUAACAUUUGAACGCUGUCUGAAGUUUGCAGUCUGAGUUUUUAGUUAAACAAUCGUUAAAACUUUCAACAACGGAUCUCUUGGUUCCGGCAUCGAUGAAGAACGCAGCGAAAUGCGAUAAUUAAUGUGAAUUGCAGAAUUCAGUGAAUCAUCGAGUCUUUGAACGCACAUUGCGCCCCCUGGUAUUCCGGGGGGCAUGCCUGUCCGAGCGUCAUUGCUGCCCUCAAGCACGGCUUGUGUGUUGGGCUUCCGUCCCUGGCAACGGGGACGGGCCCAAAAGGCAGUGGCGGCACCAUGUCUGGUCCUCGAGCGUAUGGGGCUUUGUCACCCGCUCCCGUAGGUCCAGCUGGCAGCUAGCCUCGCAACCAAUCUUUUUAACCAGGUUGACCUCGGAUCAGGUAGGGAUACCCGCUGAACUUAAGCAUAUCAAUAAGCCGGAGGAAAUUUUUUCAU
Molecule: small RNA, 540 nt
Filed under: Aspergillus chevalieri
Lineage: Eukaryota; Fungi; Ascomycota; Eurotiomycetes; Eurotiales; Aspergillaceae
Description: eukaryotic LSU rRNA
Rfam family: 5.8S ribosomal RNA (bases 148-301)
Source: RNAcentral